CCACUUUUGCAUUUAAUACCACACCCACCAAAGACAUUUGAGUGAAACCAUAGUUUAUCUAUGAUGAAACCUGGCUAGCUAGCUUUUAGCUCCAUCGCAUUGCUAAAGUAUUACAGCAUUCUCCGAAUGGAAGGAGGUUUGAGGCUGAGAAUCCUGUCUUGUCAGUAAUGAACCCGACGUAUUCAAGUUUUCAAAGAACCGGACAUUUGGAUCUACCGAGCACAACUCCAGAUCACACACAAUAUUCAAACUGACCAUUGAAAGCAAGGUUAGAGAUGAGGAACUCAGUGAUGGCACUACUAUCAGGGUGUCCUCUCUGGUGAGUGGGUGGGGCA
Molecule: long non-coding RNA, 335 nt
Organism: Halichondria panicea
Lineage: Eukaryota; Metazoa; Porifera; Demospongiae; Suberitida; Halichondriidae
Exons: 3
Source: RefSeq, a predicted model, not a curated record